Molecule: non-coding RNA, 74 nt
Organism: Trichonephila clavata
Lineage: Eukaryota; Metazoa; Arthropoda; Arachnida; Araneae; Nephilidae
Source: the annotation of a GenBank genome assembly
GCCCCUAGUAGUAUGGUGGUUAUGACACUCGGCUUGUAAUCGAAUGGGAUUGGGUUCGAAUCCCGACUAAGGCA